Nomascus leucogenys (northern white-cheeked gibbon) is the source of this 346-nucleotide long non-coding RNA. RefSeq lists it as uncharacterized. The transcript is spliced from 3 exons. The record is from RefSeq and is a predicted model, not a curated record. NCBI's taxonomy places the organism in Eukaryota, Metazoa, Chordata, Mammalia, Primates, Hylobatidae.
GGGACCUGUGCGGUGUUUGAUGAUGCCUGUAAGGGACGAAGUUCCAGAAAUGGAAUUACCGAGUCGGAUGAGAAACACAAGUCAUCAAUGAAUUAACAAGCAACACAUUGUCACAUCCAGCUAUGGAAGAGUGGUUAACUCAGCUUGAUCUCCGAAGACUCUUCUGCACCCCACCCCGCCCCCAACUGCUUUCCAAAGAGAAACAGAAAAUGAUUGAGUCCCAGGAACCAGUGACAUUUGAGGAUGUGGCUGUGGACUUCACCCAGGAAGAGUGGCAGCAGCUGAAUCCUGCUCAGAAGACCCUGCAUAGGGAUGUGAUGCUGGAGACCUAUAAUCACCUGGUCUC